GGUGGCUUAUGCAAGUGGUUAAAGCAAACAGCCCAUAAAGCUGCUACCUUUUGGGUUUCGGAAGUUCAAAUCUUUCAGCCACCA
Molecule: transfer RNA, 84 nt
Filed under: Lactobacillus xujianguonis
Lineage: Bacteria; Bacillati; Bacillota; Bacilli; Lactobacillales; Lactobacillaceae
Rfam family: tRNA
About the family: Transfer RNA (tRNA) molecules are approximately 80 nucleotides in length. Their secondary structure includes four short double-helical elements and three loops (D, anti-codon, and T loops).
Source: Rfam by way of RNAcentral